This 751-nucleotide ribosomal RNA is filed under the name uncultured bacterium. Its description in RNAcentral is "bacterial SSU rRNA". It matches the Rfam family "Bacterial small subunit ribosomal RNA", at positions 51 to 850 of the family's 1533-position model. The record is from RNAcentral.
ACACAUGCAGUCGAGCGCGCCCUUCGGGGUGAGCGGCGGACGGGUUAGUAACGCGUGGGAAUAUGCCCAGAUCUAAGGAAUAGCCACUGGAAACGGUGAGUAAUACCUUAUACGCCCUUCGGGGGAAAGAUUUAUCGGAUUUGGAUUAGCCCGCGUUAGAUUAGGUAGUUGGUGGGGUAAUGGCCUACCAAGCCUACGAUCUAUAGCUGGUUUUAGAGGAUGAUCAGCAACACUGGGACUGAGACACGGCCCAGACUCCUACGGGAGGCAGCAGUGGGGAAUCUUGGACAAUGGGCGCAAGCCUGAUCCAGCCAUGCCGCGUGAGUGAUGAAGGCCUUAGGGUCGUAAAGCUCUUUCGCCAGGGAUGAUAAUGACAGUACCUGGUAAAGAAACCCCGGCUAACUCCGUGCCAGCAGCCGCGGUAAUACGGAGGGGGUUAGCGUUGUUCGGAAUUACUGGGCGUAAAGCGCGCGUAGGCGGGUUGUUAAGUUAGAGGUGAAAUCCCGGGGCUCAACCCCGGAACUGCCUUUAAUACUGGCAACCUAGAGUUCGAGAGAGGUGAGUGGAAUUCCGAGUGUAGAGGUGAAAUUCGUAGAUAUUCGGAGGAACACCAGUGGCGAAGGCGGCUCACUGGCUCGAUACUGACGCUGAGGUGCGAAAGUGUGGGGAGCAAACAGGAUUAGAUACCCUGGUAGUCCACACCGUAAACGAUGAAUGCCAGUCGUCGGGUAGCAUGCUAUUCGGUGACACA